CGGGUAGUCCUACCUGAUUUGAGGUCAAACGUCGAUAAGGAAGACGCCCCGGAAGGCGUCGACGCAUUAGAGGCACGGGACGAUUCUGUCGUGCACUUCGGCGAACGGCGAUCAUUAUCACGCCAAAGGCCUUGUCAUGCAAAGUCGAAAAGUCGACCGCAAGCCGAUUCAUUUCAGAGGAGCCCGAGUCCUGAACGUAUCCAGGUCUCCGGCAGCCCCCACCAUCCAAGCACCCGCACGAAAAAAAAUCGAGGAGGGGUUGAGAAUUUACUUGACGCUCAAACAGGCAUGCUCCUCGGAACACCGAGGAGCGCAAGGUGCGUUCAAAGAUUCGAUGAUUCACUGUAGAUCUGCAAUUCACAUUACAUAUCGCGAUUCGCUGCGUUCUUCAUCGAUGCGAGAGCCAAGAGAUCCGUUGCUGAAAGUUGUAAUAACUUUUGUCUCAAAGAAUCGCGUCUCCUGGAAGUCGCGACUCCAUGAUGAUGAUGACAUUCAAAGACUUUCUACACGAAGAGGUAUAUUGAACACCGA
RNAcentral lists this unclassified non-coding RNA (531 nucleotides) under Suillus collinitus. Its description in RNAcentral is "partial ITS1, 5.8S rRNA, ITS2". The record is from RNAcentral. Lineage: Eukaryota; Fungi; Basidiomycota; Agaricomycetes; Boletales; Suillaceae.